AGAGGACACAUCAUCAUCUGAAUAUCAUAUCACAGGAUGAUGAGGAGGCUGUCAGUCUUCUUCCUGUCCGGCAGAGGAUUAUUGGAGCCCCUUACAAAGAAAAGUAUUAUGUAUUUUGUUGUAUCUCUCUCUAUCAGUAAGGCAGCACCAAAGGUGACUUAAAAGAGGGGUUUAGGGUGAGAUUUGGCUGUUUGGGGGUUCCUGUGGCCAUGAACACCUAAGUGCUGCCUUUUGAGGAGUCAGAAGCCCUCGGUAGUCAAACAGGUGAGCAGAGAACGGUGCCAAGAGCAAUCGGGGCAGAUUUAAACGGCUCCAGAGAGGGUGUGGAACAGAGGUGUGGCAUGUCAGUGAGGACAUUUGCAUUGCAGUUCACACAGGCAGGACAAGCAGGAAGGGCUCCUCUCUGACCAUCUGGGAGCAGCCAACAGAGGCAACAAACAGACUCAGAAAGCAGGGCCACCUUUAAGACUACUAUGUCACUUAUGUGGAUGGAAAAUCUCUUCUGGGCAGCAAGUUCAUCAAGACAAAACAGAAUGUGGCAUGAUAGAGUUGCCUGAGAGUUGGCGCUCUCUAGGAUACCAGAGGUAACUAUAGUGGACUGGCAGCUGGAACACAGAGAUUGUUGGAGGCCCUUGCACUUCUUCAGUGGCAACUGGAGUGAAGGUAGGACAUCCCCUCGACCUUUUAUGGACUAAUAAUGAUCCAUUUGUCAAACAAGAAUUUUCUCUAACACUUGGAUUUGGCAAGACACAAGCUGGUCUAGUGGAAGGUGCCCCUGCUCAUGGCAGGGGGGUUGGAACUAAAUGGUGCCCUAGGUCAAACUAUUCUAUGAUCCUAUAAUUGUAUGAGUCUAUGAUAACAAUUUCAUUGGAUAUGUCAUUUUCAGUUACACUCCAGGAAGCUUAAUUGUUGUUAAAUGGUAGGGAUACUCAAAUGGUAGGGAUACAGACUGUCAGGUGAUACUAUUUAAUGGCUGUGCAACAUUUCAGCUUCACAAACCCACUCUGUUACCAUUUGCUAUUUAGUAGUUAAUAGAUUGCAUAAGUUCCACCUAAACAUAUGUAGAUGAAGUGCCUUUAACAACAACAGCUGCUUGUGUAUGCAUCCAGUUAUACUACUUCUGACAUGGUAGCUGCGCGUUAGAACUCAGACACGCUAACACUGUAACAUUGUUAGGUUUUUUUAUCAGAGUAUGGGAUAAAAUCAGUCUAGCUCAACUCAUUCCUUCUCAGGUAGUAAGGAAUCUUAUAUUUGAUGACCCAAAAUAUACACAAGAGGUUUUUAGAUUAGAUCAGUGUGAUCUAAUUAGAUUUGAUUAUGAGCUCAGAAUAGAGAAUGUUGGCUGAAAUCUUCGGUCUUGUAUUCUGAAAAAGAAAUCAUUUGGCACUUCUAUUGCAGUUUCCAAUAUGUUUGGUGUUUGGAAUAUAUGACAUAUCAGUUUUGCAAAAUGAGAGAAACAAUUCAUUGUCAUCAAGGCUCUUGGUUGUUAGGUUUAUGUGUUUCAUUGAACAACUAGUUUUAGAGUAUUUAAUUUUUAUAACUUCAAAAAAUAACAUCUUUCAUUUCACAAAAAAUAAAAUGCUGCUCGUCUUAGAUGAAAGUAACAGGUGAAAGUUGGUUCCACUUGCACAUGGUAUGAAAAUUCAAAUACUAAAAAAUAAAAUAAAUCAUAUAUUGGAAUAGUCAGAUUUUAAUAAAUGAUCUUUUCCAUUCCAAGAGCAAUACUGCUUAUAUUUGUAUCCUAUAAUCAGCCUCAGGAUUUGGUGUUGGUGAAGAAAUUUCUCUCUUAGCCUGUUGUUUCAUCCAACAUCUAGUGUUGUUUCAUCCAACAAUUUUAUUUGUCCUCUUUUGGUCCCAUUUUUAUUCUGUUCUACAUACUCACACUUUCUGAUCCCCUGCCUUGUAUUUCAUUUUCUCAGCUCUUAUCCCAGCAGAUUUCUUUUCAAAAUACAGGCAUAGCUCUGAGAAAAAGGCUUGGGAAGUAAGAUCCCUGGGGAGAAGGCCUCAAGGGAAAUGAAACAGCUCAGCUUAAAUGUAAGGAGUCGAUCACAGGAUUGCACAGGAAUGAAUGCAGUUAAGUGUGCUAGGUUUGUAUUGUAUGUUUCUUGAACAGCAAUUCUAAUUUCCCUGUACUAAAUAAUCAUACUUCAAACCUGCCUAAAAGAAUUUUUUAAAUUAAGCAAUAUGAGAAAGAUAUUUGAACUUUAGGUUAAAAAAAGUUUUUAUUUCACUCAAUAAUAUCGAUCUAUUUACUGGUCAUUUGGGCUAAAUUUCAAAAAACUUUGCACCCUAAAAAAGUACCUAGUCCUGGGGUAUUAAAGCAGCAUUUAUUAACAGAAAUUUUAUGGUUGACAGCUGAGCUGGUUGAUGAUAGCUGAAGAAAACCAAGUUUUGCUAACUGGAAAGAUUAUCACUGAAGGGCUCACACGAGUGAGAUGGCAAAAUCAAAUACAGAUUGUGCCUUUAGCUGUUGGGAUUGUAAUAUGUGUGACUGUGAAAUCUACAUAUGCAACCUGAUGGUUUUUCAUGGCACGUUUUUACUCAUUCUGUAUAUGAAAGACAAAUGGUAUCUUGUUUUCCUGGCACCCCACCAAACAAUUUCUUGAUGUAAGAUACAGCCUAAACAGAACAAUGUCAUGAUUUUAUGCAAAUUGUGCUGGCUCAUCUGCACUAAUUCUUAGUAAUCGUUAAGAUUUUAAAAAUAUAUAUGUCACUUUAUUUAUCAGUCACCUGUAAUAUUUGUUUUCCAGAAUCUAACGUAUAAAACUGGGUUUAAUAUAUUACAUAUCAGUUUAUACUAAUGUAGAGAACUGAGUUUUAAACUACUAUAGAGCCGUCAAUAGCUAAAUUCUGUGGUAUAACUUCAGAGACUUGGAUAACAAGGCCUUUUAACCUUUAGCCAGCACUUUAUAGCACAGGCUAUAAAUUAGGAAGGAAUUUGACUUUUAGUGGCUUCAUAUUACAGUCUAUCAGGACAGUGUAGAAACAGGAGCUAUUUCUAUUAGCAUAGUAAUGAAACAUUUUUUCCAGAGAUAGUGAAUGAAAUCAACCCCCUAAUUAGAUUUUAUGUGUAAUACUUGAUGGUCAACAUUAUUCAAAAGAGAUAGCAAAAGCUUCCAUUUAAUGCAGCCAAUAUUCUUGUUUAUAUUGGACAAGGAAAAGGAAAGAGAAGAUAGAAUAAACCACCAUGACAGUAGUGCAUUUCAGAACAAAAUCAUGUGCAUCUCACCUUUUCACUUCCAUUAUGCAGAUCUGAAAAGGAAAAAAAACUACUAUAGAGGAGAAAAGAAAUAAUUCUCAACACAGCAUGAUAUUCGUCACUUAAUUCAGAAAAGGUCAUGCACAUGGUUAUAGAGGUAGAACAUACACAUUCAUCAGCUAUGAUAUACCUACAUUUAGGUAAGAAGUGUAAUAUUUUGUAUCUCACACAUAUAUAUGUUAGUUUGUUUACAGCCCUGCUUCAAAAGGUAAUGAAAAAACCUGAAAUCCAGAGAAUAUUGUUUCCAACAUUCUAACAGUGUUCUCUGGCAUAUUUGCUGAAACUCAGUUGCCCUGAGAUAUGGCCACAAGGCUGGUGAGACCAGUGGCACUGAAUCAACAGAAUUUGAUUUCUGGCCACUUUUGUUCAGACUAUCAAACCAAGUCCAAUAGUAAGAAUAGGUAGCUAGGGAACAUUAAUACUCUUGCAUUUUAUAUAAACCAAUAUAAGAGUAGUACUAAACAUUUUAGUAAGAGGGAUUCUGUAUUCAUGAAGGCAAGGUUGAUUAAUUCUGUUCUGUAACAUCUUAAAUGCAUAUCUAGAAUUACCAAAGAGCACAUCUUAGUCUUUUCUAUAAGAUAUGUAUGAAUACUUUUACUAUAAUUUCUUCUUUUCUACUUUUAUAUUCCUUUUCUUACCUUCUUCCCCUCUAAAUAUCUAGUACCUUUAAUAACUCUUUCUCUGUUUCUCAUGUACUUAUCAUGACUCAAUAACACAUGUAGAUUUUCUUUGCUGCUUGCAGAAUUAUUGCAUAAUUUAGUAUUCAAUUUAAGGAUUUUCAGAGGAAUUUACUGCAUAAUUUUUAACAUAAUAAAAUUCGUAAAAUAAUGUAUAGGAGUAUACUUCAAUGAAAAAUGAAAAAAUAAUUGUUUGAUUCAUGUGAACAACAAGGAGAGGUUGAAAAGGAAACAUUCUUUUAACAGAAAAUCUCUGAUUAUGCAGCUGUAGAAAGAAAAGGUAAUUGACAUUUACUCACUCUCAUAUAGAGACUAAAUGACUGCUUUCAUCAUAUCUCUUUUGCACAGUAUUUAAAGUCUAAGUGGAAAUAGCUUUUGACAAAUUGCAAGUAACUCAGCAAAUAUAUUAAUAGUAAUUUAUGUGAAUUUUGUAUAAUAUAAUUUAUGCCAAGAUUGCUGAAAUUUUGUCGGAUCAUCACUCUAUGAAAGUACAGAAUAAUAUAUUGACCUCCUCAAGUAAAAAACUUUAAAUAGAGCUUAUCUGGCAUUUUUUUUUCUCAUUAUAGAAUAAGCAGCUGCAUUAACUGCUUACCAAAGAUUCAUAAUAUAUUACUCUUCUACUUUAUUCAGCUCUUGAGUAGAAAUGAUUCCAAAACACAACCUUACAUGUAAACAGUCUCACACUGUUCAUAAUUCUGUUGUAUAAACAGAUUUUCACCUACAUAAACAGAUACAAACAACACCAAAUACUCUCAUAUCGUGGGGGGCUGAACACUGUGGAUUUCAAUCUAAAUGUUGUACCUUCAGUGUGUUCCUUAAUCAAGGUGAAUUGACUGAAUAUUUUUCUCUUUGUGUGUGCUCUUCACAGUUGUCUAAGACUUCCAUAAUAGAGUCAACAUCUACAGAGAAAUGUGUCUUAGCUACAGAAAAACUACUUUAUAUAUGUAAGGUUUUAUUGAAUCUAAUAUUUAAAAGAUGACAGAACAUUUUGAAAUCUUAAUACAAAAUGAGAAACAAUCCAAAUUUUGCUCUAGAAAAAAUUGUUCAAAAUUUUUCCCUUUUUCAUGUAUACGUAAAACUAAUUCUGUCCCCACUUUAUUCACCUUUCCACAUUAUAACCCUAUGUUUCAGUGAUAAAGUAUUAAGUUUGGCAUUUCAUUGUUUUUACACUAUGGAAAAUAGGGAAUGUUCAUUCCUAUUCUUUGUAUCCAUGACUUUUUAUGAUUCCAGAGUCAUCUGUCAUAUUCACUUUUAUUUUAUCAUUAUUAUUAUUUAUUUAUUUAUUAUUUUAUGUUUGCAAAACUGAAAAGUACAAAACAUUUAAGUCCCUUCUUUCUCCAAAGUGAGUCUGCAAUUCUGAUAAUCUUCAAUUGCCCCACACAGACUGUAACUGGUGACUCUUCCCCAGACCUCAGGUGAGCACUUUGUAAUUAGUGGGCAAGCUAACACAUCAUAGUCUUUAGAGCAAUCACAAAGCUUCUAUAUAACUAUGACAUUGGUAACAGAACUCCCUGUAACUGUGGUUUGCUUAUUGGACAGGUUCCUAUUUGUAAUUGGGUAUUUUGGCACCAGAAUGUUAAAUAUCAAGACUUGGGAGAGAGAAGGGAGAGAACACUAGAGAAACUCUCUCAGCAGUGGAAUUACUUUCACCUUAUCUUUUUUUCUCCUUCUUUUUUAUUUACAUGGUCUAUUUACCUGAAGGUAAGAUUGCCCUAUGACUUGUAUAUUGAUUUUUUUCAGGUUACCCUGUUUGGUCUUAAGCGACUUGAUAAUAUGUAAAUAAGUAACAAAAUUUUUUUCUCCAUAGUGUUGCUUUAUUGUUUGUUUUUAUUUGUUUGGAUGAUUGGUCGGUCUUUAAUACAGUUAUUGCAAAUACUUAGAAAAAUAGAGUUUGCAAUGAUAUUUGUCAUCCACUCUCCCAGAGGUAUUGUGUGAGAUGUACCCCUUAAAUUCAGGUCAGUGUAGAUUUAGGCUGGAUUGAUGAAAAGAGAUUGCUAAUUAAAAUAUGUAGAUUCCACCAGGGACCAGUGUAUUUUGAGACACAAAGUGUAAUUUUCAAAUAGCGAUGACUGCAAUCUCAAAAGACUUUUCAUUAACUUUUCUCCUGCAGUCUUCCAUUAUUUUCAGUUCCCCCACACCAGAGUAGCAGCUGCACUAAUAAAUUAAAACCCUAAAUUCUGGGAUGAAAAGUAGUUUAUUUCACUUCAAAAUGUGGUCACAUUACAAAACAAAAUAAAACCAAAACAAUAAAAUGUAGUAAGACUGUGAUUCUUAAAAUAAGUACAAAAAAUUUUUUACAACUCCCGUAAAAUUCCAAAAAGCAAUUUUCACCUCUUUUUGCUGAAAAGUGAAACCUUUUACAACAUCUGUACUGACCAGGCUAGUACAAUACUUUGUAAGAAUAAAAUUACAUACCAUGGAAGUCAGGAUUCUCACAGUGGAUCAGAGCUACAUUUUAAUAUGGCAGAGAGCACUGAAAUACUUUCACUUACAGCAUAUGCUGCCAGUACCUUUAAAAAAAUUUCUAUCAACUUUAUGGAUUCAAAAAAAGAGCUAACAUUCAGUUCAGGUGAAUAAACAGAGAUAUUUCUGAAUGGAAUUCAGUGAUCUUUCUGUAAUAUGACAGUUAGCUUGAAGAAGAUGAAGCUCAGUAAUCAGUUGAUUGUAGCUGAAAUUGGAACUAUAGCCCAAAACAUCUCAUGGACAUAUAUUUUGCUCGCGUUUGGUGGGCCUACAAACAUUUCCCUAUACUUUAAAUCAAACAGCAGUCUUUCUUGCAAGAUCUGGAUUGAAUAUUGGGCAUUGCAAAACAAUAAUUUUAAAAAGGAUAUAUAAAAUAGAUUCCUUAAUUGAACUUGAAUGGCUUCAAUUGGUAUCACCUGUAUC
This is a long non-coding RNA of Chiroxiphia lanceolata (lance-tailed manakin), 6822 nucleotides long. RefSeq lists it as uncharacterized. The transcript has 3 exons. The record is from RefSeq and is a predicted model, not a curated record. Lineage: Eukaryota; Metazoa; Chordata; Aves; Passeriformes; Pipridae.